This 468-nucleotide ribosomal RNA is filed under the name uncultured bacterium. RNAcentral's name for it is "partial 16S ribosomal RNA". It matches the Rfam family "Bacterial small subunit ribosomal RNA", at positions 28 to 507 of the family's 1533-position model. The record is from RNAcentral.
GACGAACGCUGGCGGCGUGCUUAACACAUGCAAGUCGAACGGAAAGGCCCUGCUUUUGUGGGGUGCUCGAGUGGCGAACGGGUGAGUAACACGUGAGUAACCUGCCCUUGACUUUGGGAUAACUUCAGGAAACUGGGGCUAAUACCGGAUAGGAGCUCCUGCUGCAUGGUGGGGGUGGGAAAGUUUCGGCGGCUGGGGAUGGACUCGCGGCUUAUCAGCUUGUUGGUGGGGUAGUGGCUUACCAAGGCUUUGACGGGUAGCCGGCCUGAGAGGGUGACCGGCCACAUUGGGACUGAGAUACGGCCCAGACUCCUACGGGAGGCAGCAGUGGGGAAUAAUGCACAAUGGGCGGAAGCCUGAUGCAGCAACGCCGCGUGCGGGAUGACGGCCUUCGGGUUGUAAUCCGCUUUCGCCUGUGACGAAGCGUGAGUGACGGUAAUGGGUAAAGAAGCACCGGCUAACUACGUG